RNAcentral lists this ribosomal RNA (396 nucleotides) under uncultured bacterium. RNAcentral's name for it is "bacterial SSU rRNA". It matches the Rfam family "Bacterial small subunit ribosomal RNA", at positions 774 to 1161 of the family's 1533-position model. The record is from RNAcentral.
AGUAAAUAGAUACCCCGGUAGUCCACGCCGUAAACGAAUGAGUACUAGGUGUAGGAGGUAUCGACUCCUUCUGUGCCGCAGUUAAACACAAUAAGUACUCCGCCUGGGAAGUACGGUCGCAAGAUUAAAACUACAAAGGAAUUGACGGGGGCCCGGCACAAGCAGCGGAGCAUGUGGUUUAAAUUCGAAGCAACGCGAAGAACCUUACCUAGACUUGACAUCUCCUGAAUAGUGUAGAGAUACAUGAAGCCCUUCGGGGUCGAGGAAGACAGGUGGUGCAUGGUUGUCGUCAGCUCGUGUCGUGAGAUGUUGGGUUAAGUCCCGCAACGAGCGCAACCCUUACUUACUAGUUGCUACCAUUAAGUUGAGCACUCUAGUGAGACUGCCCGGGGUUAA